GACGAACGCUGGCGGCAGGCUUAACACGUGCAAGUCGAACGAGAAGCUCACUUCGGUGAGUGGAAAGUGGCAGACGGGUUAGUAACGCGUGGGAACGUGCCCUCCGGUACGGAACAACAGUUAGAAAUGACUGCUAAAACCGUAUACGACCUCCGGGUGAAAGAUUUAUCGCCGAAGGAUCGGCCCGCGUUAGAUUAGCUUGAUGGUGGGGUAAAGGCCUACCAUGGCGACGAUCUAUAGCUGUUCUGAGAGGAAGAUCAGCAACACUGGGACUGAGACACGGCCCAG
RNAcentral lists this ribosomal RNA (288 nucleotides) under uncultured bacterium. RNAcentral describes it as "partial 16S ribosomal RNA". It matches the Rfam family "Bacterial small subunit ribosomal RNA", at positions 28 to 334 of the family's 1533-position model. The record is from RNAcentral.